CUCGCAGGAACUCUUCCAAAGUCACUAGUCGGUCCUUGUUGACGUCAACCUAUUAGAAGAAAAAAAAAUCAUACUCAACCUAAAGGAUGAAUUUUGCUGGAGACAACAUUUAAAAUUAUUCAUUAUGUAUCGUGAGCUGCUGUCAACUAGCUCACCAUGAGUGUCAACAUGAUGUCGCUGGACUGUUUGCUUGCAAUAGGAGCGUGAGACCAAGCUCUCGGCAGCUAAAAAACUGCCUGAGGAUGACAAAGCACGGGGUCUGACAGGUACGUGAGGCAAUGCACUGACUCCUGUGGAGGUCUGGUCAGCACUGUCUAACUACUGGUGGACUGUACUCUCUGGACUAGAACUUCCAGGAAGAGAAAAGUAAAGGCAGAAAGGUGAUCUUGAAGCUCUCAAACGCUGUAUCAUUAUUCAUUAAUUGUACUACAGCCGCACCAAAAAAA
This is a long non-coding RNA of Oxyura jamaicensis (ruddy duck), 446 nucleotides long. RefSeq lists it as uncharacterized. Lineage: Eukaryota; Metazoa; Chordata; Aves; Anseriformes; Anatidae. The record is from RefSeq and is a predicted model, not a curated record. The transcript has 2 exons.